Molecule: long non-coding RNA, 1702 nt
Filed under: Pan troglodytes (chimpanzee)
Lineage: Eukaryota; Metazoa; Chordata; Mammalia; Primates; Hominidae
Description: lncRNA (ENSPTRG00000053569.1)
Source: RNAcentral
ACUGAGGAGGAAGCAACAGCAGCUGUGCAUUGGGCCCACAGAAAGAAUGGUUGAAGACUGCAGUGUAUUUUGAGUUUCUGCUUUGGAGGGGAGGGUUGGUCCUGAUGCCCACAGACGAAUGGCCUCCUGGUUCCAAUCAAGGCCAGCCCAAAAGUCUGCUUCUGGAACCCAAACCUAAGGGACUCAGCUAUGUUUGUGUUGACCUACUAUCAAUAAAGAAGAUCCUUAUUUAAGAACAGGCCACCUUCUGUUUUACACAUAUACUUUCUGACCCUAGAAAUUGUUCAGAAGGUGGAAUGUUUUGCUGUUUCAAUGAGAUCACAUGUGUAAAGGCUCUUUCUACACUGCAGGAGCUAUAGAAAUGAAGCCAGAAUGGACUGAAUGUCACAGCCUUUAUAACCCACACUGUGGCCGCAAGAAGAGAUUCAAAGAAAAGACGAUCCUCCCUGCCAUUCCUCAGUGGCUGAAGGGCGUGGCCAGUCAUCAUUCGCUGAGCCCUUAAUAGUGUAAGACAUGCUGCGGAACCAUUAAGAUAUGCUCUCAUUUAAUCCUCAUACUAACCUAAGAGACAGCUAAUAGUAUCUAUACCUCAUCUCCACUUUUUUUUUUCUUACAGAAGAUACUGAGAAUCCGAGAGGUUAAAUUACUUCAAAAUCAAACAAAAAAAAAAUCGUAAAACUGGGAUUUAACCCUCAAAGCGUCAACUCCGAAGUUAAAGCUUUACCCCAGGGCCUUAAGACACAGGAACUAGCAUCAGAAAUGUCUCAAAAACAUGAUGCUAUUUGGUUUCUACGUGCUUUAACUCAGCCCACAUCAGCAGCCUCUGUGCUGGAGCAGAAAUGGAAGGAAAAUUCCUGGGACUUUAGUGCUUCCUGCAGCCAGCCUCAGGCCCUUUUCUUCUACAGAUUCUGGGAUGCAAAAAUCCUACUUCUGCUCUAAAAGGAGAAAAUGUGACUUGCAAGGAGAAUGUAAGUCUCAAAGAGGUACCUCUUCUUCUUCCUUGAGAGCCAUUGCCCCUUUUAUCAAUGUGACACAGCCCUUCGAAAACAGACUCCUUGUUCUUGGAGCUUGGCAGGGAAAAAAAACCAAGAAUUCAUUUGCAGGAGAGAAAGCAUCGUUAAAAAUGCCCUAUUUAGUGAAAACUUCAGAGCCAAGACUAGGUGUAUGUUCUCAUUAUUUCACAUGUUGUCAGAGUAACCAGUACAGUGAAAAGACAGCCUUUUGAAGAAAACAAGUUUGUGGAAAGUGCUUAAUUAAGGACACUGGCAUUUAUUUUUGACAUUUAUGAGACGAGAGAUGGUCACAGAAAACUAGAUGACUUUUCUUCACAAACAUACUGAAAACAAACAAGGAGCAUCAUUCCCACCAAGUGCGAAGCAGCAUAUACUUUAAUGCCUUAUUUUGGUCGAGCCAAUAUUUUGGUCAAGUGAUAAUGGGUAAAAAAUAAUUUAAUACUAUACCAUUGAUUUUACUGAUAAGACAAAGCAAGAGGCUACAAGCAAAUGCUGAUAGUACUCCAAGGAAAAAUGAUUCCACUGACCAUGUUAGCACGGUAAUUUUUAGUGUCAUCAUGAUGCCUUUCUAGUCUCUUUUUAUUCAGUGAUUCAUAUAGUAAAGAACUGCUGCCAUGUUUCUAAGUUUAGGAAAAUAUUAACUUAUCCACAGAACCUUCCCAAGAGACUCAAUAUAAUUUAAAGGUCCU